CCUACGGGAGGCAGCAGUGGGGAAUAUUGGGCAAUGGGCGCAAGCCUGACCCAGCAACGCCGCGUGAAGGAAGAAGGCUUUCGGGUUGUAAACUUCUUUUAUCAGGGACGAAGCAAGUGACGGUACCUUAUGAAUAAGCCACGGCUAACUACGUGCCAGCAGCCGCGGUAAUACGUAGGUGGCAAGCGUUAUCCGGAUUUACUGGGUGUAAAGGGCGCGUAGGCGGGAGUGCAAGUCAGAUGUGAAAACUAUGGGCUCAACCCAGGGACUGCUUUUGAAACUGUUCUUCUUGAGUGCUGGAGAGGCAAUCGGAAUUCCGAGUGUAGCGGUGGAAUGCGUAGAUAUUAGGAGGAACACCAGUGGCGAAGGCGGAUUGCUGGACAGUAACUGACGCUGAGGCGCGAAAGCGUGGGGAGCAAACAGGAUUAGAUACCCUUGUAGUC
RNAcentral lists this ribosomal RNA (443 nucleotides) under uncultured bacterium. RNAcentral's name for it is "partial 16S ribosomal RNA". It matches the Rfam family "Bacterial small subunit ribosomal RNA", at positions 338 to 795 of the family's 1533-position model. The record is from RNAcentral.